CAGGUGUUGCUGAGCACAACCACCGGCACAAGCGACAGCUAAAUGGCCUGUUCACCAGUAUAUUAGAUGGAGUCAAGAACCUUGUGAAUACCGGAACAAGCAUCGCCGGGCUCGGCACAGGCAUGCUCAACUUGGGAGGCGACGAAGGCAUCGGUGGUGUCGUCAGCGGAAUGCUAAACCUUCUCUCUAUUGGAUCUGAAAUCCUCACCGGCAUACUUGGCACCCUGCUGAACGGCGACCUCCUGGGUGGACUGUUGCCUUUCGUUGGCGGCCAGGGAUAGUGCUCGCAUGCGAUGAAUUAAAACGUGUGAUGACAAUUUGGGUUGCCUCAUUCGUUAUCCUUGGUGUGUGUACUAGUUUAUAGCAUUACUGCAGUUCUUGAGGAACACCGGCCUCAAUGACCGAUUGUAGUACUGCUGUGCGUCCUCCUGUG
Long non-coding RNA from Dermacentor albipictus, 433 nucleotides. RefSeq lists it as uncharacterized. The record is from RefSeq and is a predicted model, not a curated record. NCBI's taxonomy places the organism in Eukaryota, Metazoa, Arthropoda, Arachnida, Ixodida, Ixodidae.